This 501-nucleotide ribosomal RNA is filed under the name uncultured bacterium. RNAcentral's name for it is "bacterial SSU rRNA". It matches the Rfam family "Bacterial small subunit ribosomal RNA", at positions 28 to 526 of the family's 1533-position model. The record is from RNAcentral.
GAUGAACGCUAGCGGCAGGCCUAACACAUGCAAGUCGAACGGUAACAGGUCCUUCGGGACGCUGACGAGUGGCGCACGGGUGCGUAACGCGUAUACAAUCUGCCUUUAAGCGGGAAAUAGCCCAUGGAAACGUGGAUUAAUGUCCCAUAGUAUAUAGGAGUCACCUGGCUUUUAUAUUAAACAUUUAUGGCUUAAAGAUGAGUAUGCGUCCUAUUAGUUAGUUGGUAAGGUAACGGCUUACCAAGACGUCGAUAGGUAGGGGUCCUGAGAGGGAGAUCCCCCACACUGGUACUGAGACACGGACCAGACUCCUACGGGAGGCAGCAGUGAGGAAUAUUGGACAAUGGGGGCAACCCUGAUCCAGCCAUGCCGCGUGCAGGAAGACUGCCCUAUGGGUUGUAAACUGCUUUUAUACAGGAAGAAACACCCCUACGUGUAGGGGCUUGACGGUACUGUAUGAAUAAGGAUCGGCUAACUCCGUGCCAGCCGCCGCCGUAACAC